GAUGAACGCUGGCGGCGUGCUUAACACAUGCAAGUCGAACGAUGAAGCCCAGCUUGCUGGGUGGAUUAGUGGCGAACGGGUGAGUAACACGUGAGUAACCUGCCCUUAACUCUGGGAUAAGCCUGGGAAACUGGGUCUAAUACCGGAUAGGAGCGCCUACCGCAUGGUGGGUGUUGGAAAGAUUUAUCGGUUUUGGAUGGACUCGCGGCCUAUCAGCUUGUUGGUGAGGUAAUGGCUCACCAAGGCGACGACGGGUAGCCGGCCUGAGAGGGUGACCGGCCACACUGGGACUGAGACACGGCCCAGACUCCUACGGGAGGCAGCAGUGGGGAAUAUUGCACAAUGGGCGGAAGCCUGAUGCAGCGACGCCGCGUGAGGGAUGACGGCCUUCGGGUUGUAAACCUCUUUCAGUAGGGAAGAAGCGAAAGUGACGGUACCUGCAGAAGAAGCACCGGCUAACUACGUG
RNAcentral lists this ribosomal RNA (466 nucleotides) under uncultured bacterium. RNAcentral's name for it is "partial 16S ribosomal RNA". It matches the Rfam family "Bacterial small subunit ribosomal RNA", at positions 28 to 507 of the family's 1533-position model. The record is from RNAcentral.